CAAAUUACAUUUAAACGUACUGAAAAUAUUUGUAAAACAUAAAUACAAACAAGACAAAGCAACAAACUUCUGUCCUUCUGUCCUGUCUUUGCAAAGCCAGUUGUUAUAGCUCUGGAAAGUUGUGACCUUUUUCACUGGUAAAAAAAUCUUGAUUCUCCCCCAAGCAUGCUACAAAUCUAUUCAGUACCUGGCCACAACUGAGCCAAGGAAUAUUAUUA
Pelobates cultripes (western spadefoot toad) is the source of this 218-nucleotide non-coding RNA. NCBI's taxonomy places the organism in Eukaryota, Metazoa, Chordata, Amphibia, Anura, Pelobatidae. The record is from the annotation of a GenBank genome assembly.